UGGGGAAUUUUGGACAAUGGGCGCAAGCCUGAUCCAGCCAUGCCGCGUGCGGGAAGAAGGCCUUCGGGUUGUAAACCGCUUUUGUCAGGGAAGAAAUCUUCUGAGUUAAUACCUCGGGAGGAUGACGGUACCUGAAGAAUAAGCACCGGCUAACUACGUGCCAGCAGCCGCGGUAAUACGUAGGGUGCAAGCGUUAAUCGGAAUUACUGGGCGUAAAGCGUGCGCAGGCGGUUUUGUAAGACAGAGGUGAAAUCCCCGGGCUCAACCUGGGAACUGCCUUUGUGACUGCAAGGCUUGAGUGCGGCAGAGGGGGAUGGAAUUCCGCGUGUAGCAGUGAAAUGCGUAGAUAUGCGGAGGAACACCGAUGGCGAAGGCAAUCCCCUGGGCCUGCACUGACGCUUAUGCACGAAAGCGUGGGGAGCAAACAGGAUUUAGAUACCCUGGUAGUCCACGCCCUAAACGAUGUCAACUGGUUGUUGGGAAGGUUCCUUCUCAGUAACGUAGCUAACGCGUGAAGUUGGACCGCCUGGGGAGUACGGCCGCAAGG
This 547-nucleotide ribosomal RNA is filed under the name uncultured bacterium. Its description in RNAcentral is "partial 16S ribosomal RNA". It matches the Rfam family "Bacterial small subunit ribosomal RNA", at positions 355 to 893 of the family's 1533-position model. The record is from RNAcentral.